Molecule: long non-coding RNA, 2541 nt
Organism: Ricinus communis (castor bean)
Lineage: Eukaryota; Viridiplantae; Streptophyta; Magnoliopsida; Malpighiales; Euphorbiaceae
Exons: 2
Source: RefSeq, a predicted model, not a curated record
GUAACUCUCUAUUUAUAAUAAUUUUAAUUUUGCUUAAAGGUAGCAACCGAGAGAUUAAUUAAAAGAGUGAUAUUAAGCUUGAGGGUUUAAGAAGAACUUUUACGGAUUAAUAAUUUUUAACUAAAGAAUGUAGGGACUAAAUGACGAAAUGAAAAGAAAAGGAAAGAAAAGAAAGGAAAGGAGAAGAAGGAAAGAGAAUGAGGAAAAUAAGUAACUCUCUAUUUAUAAUAAUUUUAAUUUAGCUUAAAGGUAGCAACCGAGGGCUUAAUUAAAAGAGUGAUAUUAAGCUUGAGGGUUUAAGAAGAACUUUUAGGGAUUAAUAAUCUUUAACUAAAGAAUGUAGGGAUUAAAUGAUGAAAUGAAAAGAAAAAGAAAGAAAAGAAAGGAAAGGAGAAGAAGGAGACAAGGAAGAGAAUGAGGAAAAUAAGUAACUCUCUAUUUAUAAUAAUUUUAAUUUGGCUUAAAUGUAGUAACCUAGGGCUUAACUUAAAGAGUGAUAUUAAGCUUGAGGGUUUAAGAAGAACUUUCAGGGAUUAAAAAUCUUUAACUAAAGAAUGUAGGGACUAAAUAGCGAUAUGAAAAGAAAAAGAAAGAAAAAAAAAGGAAAGGAGAAGAAGGAGACGAGAAAGAGAAUGAGGGAAAUUUGAGAUGCCUUUAAUGGCAAAUGGUGGAGGAGCUCAUUUGAGGUGCAUUAAAGCUGGCUGUCGAAGCAGCUGAGUUGGCGAGCAUGGCAGCAGCACCGGCGGUAGUGAACGACAGCGUCAAGUAGCAGAAAAACUGAAAGAAUUGGCAGCGGCUUCUUCGACGCAGUCCAUGGCUUUUCCGGCGAUGGCAACAGCUGCAUCUAGUGACGAUCAACUCGCCUGAGAAUGGGCUUCCAUUUGGGGGUAGCAGCGGUGGCAAUGUAGCAGAAAGAGAGAGAUCUGACAAAGAAAGAUUUGUAUAGGCAGCUGGGAUUUUGGACUUUUCCGGCCAUCUCUGAUGAGUUAUAGCUGAUCGGAGUUCAUGGAUGAACUCCCCUUGUCACAAGUUUUCCAAUUGCAUUAAUUUUCCAGUGGUCGGACUUUGUUAGUAAAUCGACGGUUGAAAUUGUUUGUGAUGUAUCGGAAUGAUCAGGGACUGGAUCGGAGAAUCAUAUGCUAGAAUCAUCGUUUGCACAUUGUCUCUAGUCCGUAGGCACGCUUGAAUCGUUGAUUGGACUCCGACAGUUGAAGGCGAGUCGACAAGCGUCUCGAUAAUCUAUCGUUUCAGUCCGCUCUACCUGAGGCUUAGGAGUAGAGCAAGAGGGUCAUCAGAACUGUGAGUUAAAGUCAUAUAUCUGCUAUACAUGUGUCAAUGCUAAAAUUUUAUAUAGCAAUUUCGAUUGAUUAAUUUAUAGAUUUAAAUUAUUUAUUUAUUUAUUAUUCAUCUAAAUAAUUAUUUUAUGGAAUUAAUCUAUUUACUAUUUAUAUAUCAUUUUCCACAUCAUUAAUAUUAUAAUUGCAUAUUGACUCGGGAUGAGACGACAAUAGAACAUGCUACCUGAUAGGUUGCAUCAGGACUGUGUGCGCACCGGUAUAGAUUCGAGACAGGUAGUAAAAGAAUAUUUUUAAGACUAGCUUUAGUCGAGUUCAACUCUUUGAUGAGAUGACAAUAGAACAUGCUACCUGAUGGGUUACAUCAGGGACUGCGUGCGAACUAUUAUAGAUCCGAGACAGGUCGUAAAAGAAUAUUUUUGAGACUAGCCCUGAUCAAGUGUUGCUCUCUGUGAGCCAACUUUAUUGAGAAUCAAGUGAUUAGACUGGAUUCAAGGAUCCUGGUCGAGCUCCGCUCUUUGGAUGCCAGUCCUAUUAGAGUGAGAGAGCCAAAAGGCUGUUAGUAUUGGGGUUGGGGUUUUGCUGAAGUACUCGUCCCACAACGUCUAAAUUAUAUUUUGCUGAAUCAUGGCAUGAUAUGCGUUUUAAAAUGAUAUAAUACUUUAUUCUGAUUAAAUAAAUAUUUUAUUGAGAUAGUUGUAUGUAUUUUCUUUUUAGAUUAUAUGAUUUUAACUCACUAUCGAGACUAACAGUCUCAAAUUUAAUUAUUUUUCAAGUGUUUGUUAGUUUUUCCGCAGUUGUCUCCUCUGGCAGCCCGACUUCCUUCAUCUUCGGGUUUAAUGUAACUAAUUUUAUUUGUAUGUUUGGUUUUUAGAGUUCUAGAUUCUCCGCAGUAGUGAUUUCAAAAUUUAUUAUUUUGUUUUGGCAUGUUAAACCAGGUAUUGCCUAAUAUGUGCUGACAGACUGUAGUAUCUGGAUGGUUGAAAGUUGGUUAUGCAAAAUUAUUAUAAUGGAUAGAAUUUGAAUUAUACUUUGAUUAAGUUAGUGAAUGGUCAGGUUUGCUACGGGUUUCGGUGGCGUUACACCUACCCGUUCCCUAGCGCCGGUCACGGGUCCACAGAUCGUAUCGUGACAAAGUUUUAAAAAUGUUAAACUAGAUUCUUUUGGGUAUUUAAUGAUCUAUUAUAUUUUGUAGGAAUUUUUUUAAAUCUUUUAUUAAUAGAUGUCUUAUAUUUUCAACAUUGUU